RNAcentral lists this ribosomal RNA (663 nucleotides) under Phymaturus punae. RNAcentral's name for it is "partial 12S ribosomal RNA". It matches the Rfam family "Bacterial small subunit ribosomal RNA", at positions 151 to 1022 of the family's 1533-position model. Lineage: Eukaryota; Metazoa; Chordata; Lepidosauria; Squamata. The record is from RNAcentral.
GGGAAACCAAAAAUCCCCAAAAACACAAAGUUUUGGUCCUAAACUUGCUGCUAUUUUUGAUCAAAAUUAUACAUGCAAGCAUCUGCACACCAGUGAGAAUGCCCUAACUUACACUUAAAAGGAGCAGGUAUCAGGCACGACCUGUCAGCCCAAAACACCUUGCUAUGCCACACCCACAUGGGUACUCAGCAGUAAUUGAAAUUAAGCAAUGAGUAAAAGCCACAUUAAGCUCGACUUAGUUAUGAUCACCAGGGCCGGUUAACCUCGUGCCAGCCACCGCGGUUAUACGAAGGGCCCAAAACAGCAGACACCGGCGUAAAUUGUGACUAGAGACACCACCUUAAACAAGAAGAAAUAAACUACACCCUAACCGUAAAACAUAGGCCAAAUGAAGCCCCCCACUCUUCUUACACAAGGUUGCUUGAACCCACGAAAACUAAGAAACAAACUAGGAUUAGACACCCUACUAUGCUUAGAUGUAAACAAGACACUACACAACUAAAGUGUCCGCCAGAGAAUUACAAGCGAAAAGCUUAAAACUCAAAGGACUUGGCGGUGCUCCGUACUCAACUUAGAGGAGCCUGUCCUAUAAUCGAUACUCCACGAUAAACCCUACCAUCUUUUGCCAACCCAGCCUAUAUACCGCCGGUCGAAAACUUUACC